CCUACGGGCGGCAGCAGUGGGGAAUAUUGGACAAUGGGCGAAAGCCUGAUCCAGCCAUGCCGCGUGUGUGAAGAAGGCCUUCGGGUUGUAAAGCACUUUCAGUGGGGAAGAAAGCCUUGGGGCUAAUACCCUCGAGGAAGGACAUCACCCACAGAAGAAGCACCGGCUAACUCCGUGCCAGCAGCCGCGGUAAUACGGAGGGUGGAGCGUUAAUCGGAAUUACUGGGCGUAAAGCGCGCGUAGGCGGUCUGAUAAGCCGGUUGUGAAAGCCCCGGGCUCAACCUGGGAACGGCAUCCGGAACUGUCAGGCUAGAGUGCAGGAGAGGAAGGUAGAAUUCCCGGUGUAGCGGUGAAAUGCGUAGAGAUCGGGAGGAAUACCAGUGGCGAAGGCGGCCUUCUGGACUGACACUGACGCUGAGGUGCGAAAGCGUGGGUAGCAAACAGGAUUAGAUACCCGUGUAGUC
RNAcentral lists this ribosomal RNA (464 nucleotides) under Vreelandella stevensii. RNAcentral's name for it is "partial 16S ribosomal RNA". It matches the Rfam family "Bacterial small subunit ribosomal RNA", at positions 338 to 795 of the family's 1533-position model. Lineage: Bacteria; Pseudomonadati; Pseudomonadota; Gammaproteobacteria; Oceanospirillales; Halomonadaceae. The record is from RNAcentral.